Molecule: long non-coding RNA, 9439 nt
Filed under: Gossypium barbadense (sea-island cotton)
Lineage: Eukaryota; Viridiplantae; Streptophyta; Magnoliopsida; Malvales; Malvaceae
Description: long non-coding RNA (GBAR_LNC017598)
Source: RNAcentral
CCAAAACUAACCAUUUUAUUAUUACAUUUUGAACAUGCUACAAAGUUUACCAAAUAAACAUCAAGACUACCAUUUAUUCAUAAGAUUUCAUAUUCCAACAUUACAAAACAUACUCAAAAAAGCUAACCAAUCUUCUUAAUCAUCCAUUACCAUUAACAUUAACAACUUACAAACAAAACCUAUAUACACAUGCCACAACCCAAAAAGAGAUGAAAAAGCUACCAAAAUGAUUGGAUAGUGUGAGCUUUUCAAUCGAUCCGUCCAAUUAGUCCGCUACUGAUAACUACAAAAUAACAUGAAAGAAACAAAUAAACUUAAAUAGCUUAGUAAGAUCAUAUUAUAACAUCUACUUAACUUAACUUAAUUAAAAUAAAAAAAUUAAAGUUAUAACAUGCUCAUCCUAAUCUUCAAAUACAUGGUACGUUUGUUUUCACAAUCAACCAAAUUGAAAUGGGCAUCUUCUCUGGAAAUUUAUCAUAAUAGGAUUAUACCUAUUCCAUGUAACAAUCCAUAAAUAAACCUUUCAUACAAGUAUGUAACUAGUUCGUAGUACUCCAUAACAUUUAUUCUAAAUCAUUAGUACUCGAUUCACAUACUCAAUAGUUACUCCAUUUUCAGAGGCAUCAUAGAUGCAAAACAGGAGCACAGAUGUGCAAAUAGGGAUACUGAAGUAUAUACAUAAAUACUUGCAAUUCACAUGGUUAUAUAAAUAACCAAAAUAACUACAUAUAUAUAUAAAUCAAUUAACUAGAAAUUAGUAAUCUAAUACACAAAUAAAUUACAAUUCUAAAACAAAGCACUAUGAUUUUACCUACGAUCCACUCUCGAUUCAAACGCAGGGACUACUUCAUAAUUUUUAUCUUUCAUCGUUUAUUGUCUUUAUGACUUGUGCCUUGAUCUAUAUAGUAAUUAAAUACCUUUUAUUAAAUUCACAUACAUUUAAUACUCAAUUUAAUGUAUAAGACCAUUAAAUUUUCAUUAAUUAUACAUUUUCACUAAACUUUUACAUUUAUCACAAUUUAGUCCCUACCCUCAAAAUACCAAAACUAACAAAACUUUAUAACAUAACAUGCUAGCCAUAUUUUUACCCUACCACAUUCAGCCCACAUUUAUUCUAAAUUCACUAAAAUUCCCUAUCACUUCUAACAUUUCAUCAGUUUAAUCAUUUGCUCAAAAACUAACAAAAAUCACUUUAUAAUUUACUCAUAACCAACAACUAAUAACUCUAAUUCAUCAUCUAAUCUCAUAAUACUAAGAAUUCAUCCAUGGUAAAUUUCAAAAAUCUUAACAGUUUCAAAAAAGAAGCUAUGGGUUAGUUGCACCUAGUUACAACAUUCCUAAAAACAUAAAAAUUACAAGAGGUAAGCUUAAAUUGAACUCACAUGCAAAAGGGAACUUUAACCGAACCUUGCUAGCACAAAAAUGGUGAAUUUCUUUUCUAUUUUCGGUGGAAGAACCCUUUAGGGAAGAUGAUACUCUAUUUUGUUUUAAUUAUUAAACUAUAUUAACUCAACUACAAAAAUUGCCCUCAAAAUUAAACAUGCAUUUUAACAUAUUUUCAAGCCUUAAACCGUCCAUCACUAAACUUUAUUGACAAAUUACUUCAUAAGUCCCCUCCACAUCAUUAAUUAAACUAUCAAGUCAAUAUAAUUCAUUAAUUACUAAAUUUUUCAUCUUUCACAAUUUAAUCUUUUUUAUUCAAUUAACUAAUUAAACCUUAAAAUUUCUUUACCAAAAUUUAGUAUAACCCUAAUAAAAUUUGAUAAAAAUUAACUAAAUAUUAAAACAUGAUAACACAUAUCAGAAUCGUGGUCUCGAAAUCACUAUUUUUGACACAAUUGAAAAACGGGAUAUUACAACAUACAUUUUAUAACAUCCUGAUUUUUAGUGGUGCUGAAAAAGGUGGUUUCAGAACACCAUUUCUAUAAACCGAGUUCGUAAAUAUUAAAUACGAAUAUUUACGAAGUUGGUAUAAAAGAAUAUUGAUGCUUGCCCAUCAAUUCUGUCUAUUAAUUACUUAAUUAGGAUACAGGGACUAAAUUAUAAAAUUCUAAUUGCUAUAGAUUUUUAAUUGACCACAUGUUUAGGGACUUAAAUUGUAAUUAUAUAAAAUUUUAAAUUGGUGAAUAAACCAUUUUUCAUUAGGAGAUAUGUAACACCCUAACUCGUAUUCGACACCAGAACAGAGUUACGAAACAUUACGGACUUAUGACUUAAACAAUCAUACAUUUCAUAAUCAAUUAUCAUUCAAAUCAAAAUCCAUUCAAACACAUUAAUACAGUCCCUGUUACGAGCCCUCAAGCCCCCAAAUAAACAUUAAAAGUGGUUCAGGACUAAACCGAGUAUUCAAAAUUUUUUUAGAAAAACAUUGAAAAUUUUCAAAGUGUAGAGGACACACGCCUGUGUGGCUAGGCCGUGUGGACAUUCGAAAAGGGAUCACAUGGUCGUGUCCUAGCUCGUGUCUGACCUCGUGUAACUCACUGACUUGGGUCACACGGCCAAACCACAUGCCCGUGUGCCAGGCCGUGUGAAAACUAGAUGGUAUACUGACUUGUGCCACAUAGCCAAGCCACACGCCCGUGUGCUAGGCCUUGUGAAGCUACUAACUUGCUUUCUAAGGAAAUUAUAGGGGACACACGGUCGUGUCACCUGGCCGUGUGUCAUCUGGCCAUGUGUCACACACGGCUGAGACACACACUCGUGUCUCUGCUCGUGUGGACAAAAAUAGGCCAUUUUCCAAGCUAUAUUUCUCACCCAAAUUGGUGACAACCUAUACACAUCAAAAUACAUAAAACCAUGGCAUAAAUAGGCACUCAAGUCCAACCAAUAUUAAGUUUAUAACAAGUACAUUCACACCAUAACAUGAUACCCAUAAACACAUUCAUUUGAUCACUUUAAAACAUACCAAACAUACUUCAAAGGUUACCUAAAUAAUCAAUUACAUAUAUAAAGACAUUGUGCCUAAAACUUAGCAUACAUAACCAUCUUCAUUUCAACCAAUUAAUGCCAAACACAAUUUCACAAGCAAGGCAUUCAUAUACCGACCAUACACUACAUAUCAAAGGGUCAUUUGAACAUAUAUACAUAUCAAAAUAUGUGACCACCUUACAAGCCAUCUCAAAUGGCCAAAACACAACAAGACAUAUAGGUCACAUUAGCUAAAACACCUAUACAUGCCAUUUAACCAAAAUAUACAAAGUACAAAAUACCGGAAUGAGAGUUUGAUAGUGCGACACGAUCUCUGACAACUUCCAAACCGAGCGAGCUUUCAAAUCACUAUAAAACACGAAAAUUAAAACAGAGUAAGCAAUUAAGCUUAGUAAGUUUGUAUGGCUAAUAAAUACAACUUACCAUUCAUCCACAAUUUAGAUAAGCAUAAUUAAAACAUAGGUAAAUUUCAAUUGGCCCAAAGCCUAAUACAUAAUCACAAUCAUGUUAGUCAUAUAUGAAUACAUCAACUAUGAAUUACUUUUCGUAUUUUACACGAAUACCUAUACUGGUUCGUAUCAACUCUUAUAACCUCGUAUCAUCAUCUGUGCCUGUUAAACCAUUUGGAAUACUAUCGGAUACUCAAGUAUCUCACACACUAAGUGCUAAUACGUGGUCAAAAUCACCUCUAUCCCAUAUCUCAUAUAGAUGCUCACUCUCGAGCCAUCAUUAGUCUGCUCACACAAGCUGUCAGUCAAGACGUAACUACACAGUGUUACUCAUACAAGCUGUAAAGUAAUCGCAACACAUACCAGAAACUCAACCACCGGUAAGACGUACGAGACCAACACCCAAAAAACGGUAACCCUUAAUGACAUGUCAUUUGUAUCCUAUCUAUUCCUAAGGUUCAACCGGUAUCCAUACAUUGUAGAUACCUCGUCGAGAAUUUCCGUGGUGUCAUAUCAUCACAAUUAUAUCAAUUGAGCAUUUAAACACAUAUAACUUAAUUCUUAUUAAACAUACAAACUUACCUCAAAUUUACACGGAGACAAUCGACCGAUCAAUCCAUUACUUUAUCUUUGCCUCGAUCUAAUUCCGAACGUGGCUUUUCUUGUUCUAUAUAUAAUCAAAUUUAACUAAUUUAAUAUUUAUUCUAUUCAAUUCAAUUCAAUUUCAUGUUAUGGAAAAAUUACCAUUUUACCCCUAAACAUUUAACCUUUUUACAAUUUAGUCCUUAGGCUCGUAAAAAUGAAAUUAAUGAAAUUUCACUACAUCCAAGCCUAUCCAAAAAUUAUAUAUGCUCAUAUCAGCCCAUAUAUUACAUAAAUUCACGCAUUUGUCACAAAUUUUUCACAUUUCUCAAUUUAACCCAUAACUAACAAUUUCAUCAAAACUCACUUAACAAAAGUUGUUUAUUUAACAACAUGGGUUCAUUUUCUUCCAUUAAACUUCAAGAACAACUAAUAUUCUCUCAUGGAAAAACCCUAUACUUUAAACCAUAUUGCAAUUUAGUCCUCUAUUUAGCUAGAUUAAGCUACAACAGUUCCGAAAACAUAAAAAUCAACGAAAACGGGAUGAAAUAGCACUUACAUGCAAAGAAAAAACUUGAGAAAAAAUUUCUUCCCUUCUCCUAUGGUGAAUUCAGCUAUGGCAUGAAAAAUAGAAGAAGAUGAUAGCUUUUUGGCUUUUCUUUUAUUUAUUUUUAUCAUUAAUUGUAUUUUUAUCAUUUUACCCUUACCUAACUUUAAAAAUUACUCAUAUACCAAGCCAUGCACACCCAAUAACUCAUUUAAUGGUCCAAUUACCAUAUAAGGACCUCCAAUUUAAAUUUCUAUAGCUAUUUAACACCUUUAGCUAAUAGAACACAACUUUCACACUUUACGCGAUUUAGUCCUUUUUCAAAAAUUGAGCAUACAAAUAGUAAAAUUUAUUAACAAAAUUUUUAUACCACCAUAUUAUCAUGCUAUAGACCAUAAAAUAAUAUUAAAAUAAAUUUUUCAACUUCAAAUUUGUGGUCCUGAAACCACUAUUCUGAUUUCAUUGAAAACGGGCUGUUACAAGAUAAUUCUUGAUGAUGGUUUUCUCUACUAUUGAAAUUUAAAUGCUUAUUAUGUUAAUUAAGUUAGAUUAACUUAAUUAAUUUAGGUUAAUUAAAGAUUAUUCAAAGUAUAUAAGACAUGUGAAAAUGGGAUAUUCCUCCUUCAUUUUCUUUUAACCGUCCAAGCAUAAAAACCUUAGAAAAGUCAUUUUUGAAACUCAAACAUUCAACCAUCUAAUAGGUAAGCAAAUUUAAGUCUUUUCUUGUAUUUUUUUUUUUAUGUUUUUGAAGUCAUGGGCGCUUGAUUUAGCUAGCUUAUAUACCAAUUUAUAAAAUUAUUAAAGUUUUUGAAAGUUGUCAUUGUUUAAUUUUUGAAGAAUUAUGCUUGAAAUUGAUAGAUUUUAAGUUUGGGGUGGUGAAAAGGACUAGAUUGUAAUGUUUAAUUGUUAGUUUUACACAUAGAGAUUAAAGUGAAUAAUACAUAAAAUUGUUGUGAAAUUUCGAUAGAAAUAGAAAGUAGAGGGUUCCUGAUGAAUGUAUGUGAAGUUGGAUUUUAAAUUGAGGUUAAAAAUUGAAAGUUAUGGCUAUUUUGAAUUUAGGGACUAAAUUAAAUAAAAUAUAAAAUUUUAGGGUAUCAAAAAAUGAGAUUAUAUAAGUUCAUUCAUGUCAUGGCAUAAUAUGAAAUUUUUUUGUAUUGAUGGAUUGUAUAAAAUAAUUGUUUAGAUUAAGAACCAGAUCAAAUCGGAGUUAAUCAAGGAGAAGCUAAAUUUGUUGAUUAGUUCUUGAAGAAUCAACUUGUUUGAUGUUUUGAUCACAUUGUCGAAACCACUUUUUGAAAAACAAAAAUUUAGUUAUAGACUUAAAAAUGAAAAUUGGAGUCGCCACCGAUCCUUUAUUGAAGUGUGAUCGGAUCACCUUAAAAACGAUUUUGGUCUACGAAUUUCAGAAAAAUGAGUCCGGGAGUCAAUUACAUACGAGGAAGGGUUAGUACCCUCGUAAUGCCCAAAAUUGGUACCUAAUUGAUUAUUUAACGUCUUGAGGUCGAAUGUCGAAAAUGGUUAAAAAGCGAUUCCCCUUUUAAAAUCUUUAUUAAAAUUUUUUAUUUUGAAAACUAAAAAAUUUAGUCAUCUUGCUUCAGUGAAGAAAUCGAAACCCCGUAAGUUAGGGCACGAUUCUUUGAAGUUCCUAUGACAACACACGAAUUUGCUUUUAUCAAAAAUCUCGUCUCGAGAUAACAAAAUGUCGGACCCAGUGAGUUAGGAUAUAACAUUUCAAAUUCUCGAGAUAAGCUUUGAUUUGAAAUUUUUACAUUUGGAUUGAAAAAAAGAUACUCGGGUACUUAAAUUCAACGAGGAAAAUUGAAGCCCAGUAAGUUAGGGCACAAUUUUCUUUGAAAAUCUAAGAUACCGAGAAUUGCUUUAUUUUAUAAACCCUUGAAUGAAAAAUGUAAGGUGAUUAAAUGACAAUAUGCAACGCGAAAGGGUAACUUGUAAAUAAAUCACACAUUAAUCAAAUGAGCGGUAGAUAUAUACAAGCAAGUAAUACACAUAGCAACAAUAAUCUCAUGUAAAUACUCACAUUGGCUAAUAAGAGGAAACUAAUUAAAAUCAAGCAAUUUUACAUAAACACUAACGAAAUAUACAAAUUUAAAUAUAAUUCAAGAAACAAAUAUAAUAUAUAUAAAUUAAAAUAUUUAAAUAAAUUUAAAUAAAUUAACAAUAUUGAAAUAAGUUGAAAUAAAUUAAAGAUGUUAAAAUAUUUGAAAGAGAUAAAAUAUCUAUAUAAUAAUAUGAAACUAACAAUAGAUUAUGUAUGUAUGUAUGUAUGUAUGUAUAAUGAAAAUAAUUUAAUAUAAAAUAUGUAUACAUAUAUAAUAUUAUUAUAUAAUAGUAUUACGUAAACAAAUAUUUAUACAAAUCUAAAAAUAUGUAAUGAGUAAAUUUUGAGAAAAUAUAUUGUAGAAUAAAAAAAAUACAAUAAAUAUUAAUAAUGGUAUAUCAUAAAAAAGGGGUAAUAAUAUAUAAAAUUUUAAAAGAAGCUUAAAACAAAAUACAUAUAUAAUAAAAUAAUGUAUAAAUAAAAUAAGUAAAUAUAUAAACGAAUAACAUCAUUAAUAAUAAUAACAAUAAUUGUAGUAAAUAUAAUAAUUAUAUCAAACCAAUUUAUUAAUUUUUUUAGAAAAAUAACAUACAUAUCAAAAAAGGAUUAAAUCGCAAUUAAAACUAAAUUAACAGGAAACAAAUGAAAUUAAAAUAAAUAGCGGGAUUAAAACACAAUACAUAGAUUACAAGGGGGUCAGAUUGAAAUAUUCCCCUGCAUCCAAAACGCUGCGCGGCGAAAUGGGUUAAAAUGGGACAACAUCAAAAUACGGGGCGAAUUUAGGAAAUAAAAAAAACAAAUUGAAACUAUGAAACAAAUUAGGAGGACUAAUAGCGCAAAUUACCCAUUAGGGCAAGAACGCGCUGACCCUACCUACGGGUCGGGUCAACGCGCAGAUCUUCCCUCAUUAAAACGGUGCCGUUCUCCUUUAAUAUUAAAAUCAAAAUUAUUCUUAAAAAAACAUUUCUAUUUCAUUUUUUAAAGAGGAAAGCAGAGGGGAAGGGGUUCUCUGCUAGGGUUUCGACCCUAGCACCCUCAUGCCGCCGCCGUCGUGCCCACCGUGAAGCCAUCGCGAAUGGCGCCCGAAACCAGGUAAAUCGCUUUUUUCCUUUUUAUUAUUAUUUUUUAAAAAAGUAUGAAACAAAGAUAAAAAAAAACAAAAGAAGAAAACUCGAAGAAAAAAGGAAAAAAAAACCUUCAAAUUGCUCUUUGAUUCUCUUUUUUUUAAAUAGUUUUUGAUAUAAUAUUCGUAACCCAUUUUACAGAUUUAAUUUGGCUUUAUAUAGCCAAAAUAACGUAAAAAAGAAACUCUCGAAAACUCUUUUUUCAUUUUUGUCGUAAUUUCUGCUAUUAUUUGCUGUUCGUGAUUUGUGGUUUGUUACAGGUGCACUAGAGGAGACGUGCGUGGCGUGCGUGGAGGGCGAUAACCGCUGGCACACACGCGCGAAAAGGCCUGGUGGUUGCGGCGCUGGCUGGGGUUGAAUGCUAUUAGGGUUUGGUUUUAUUUUUUGGUGAAAUAAGCUUAGGGUUAGUGGUUUAGGUCUUUAUAACUAUUGGGCUAGGUAUCGGGCCUCUGUAACUGGGUUUGGGAUUAGGUUGAUAUGUUGAGCUAAAAUUUUGUAAUUUGGAUUGCGUUUGGACUUUACAUUUUUUUGGUAUUUAAUUUUAUUUAUUUAGUUUUUGUAAGGGGGCAAAAAAUUGGGUAUCACACACAUAAGUUCAUAUGAUAUUUAUUUACUUAGGUUAUUAUGUAUUUGAUUUAUAUACGCAUGCUUGAUUGUGGAUUACUUAGUUAUAAAUUGGUAUGAAAGGCUAGAAUUGGACUAUUGGUUUAGAAACGUUAUGAAUUUAAUUAUACUUAAAUUGCGUCUUCCAUUUUGGCCAAUUUAUUUCAUGUUUAUAAUUCUCAACAAAUUGUUUUUAAGAUCCUCAUUUUUUUUUCAUUAUUUCAAUAAAAAAUUGCAUGUAAAAUCGUUGUCGACAACUUUCUAUUUUCAUGGUUCUAUAUUUUCACAUAUUAACAUAACUUAUUGUAUUCUCUUUAUUUUCAUUAUUUCUAUAUUUAGGUAUUUGAAUCUGUUUAGAAGUUUUAAUAAGUAGUUAUGUUGUAGGUCUCUUUAAAAGCACUCGCAUCCAUUAUAUAACUAUCUAUAUUUAUUAUUUUCUUGUACGAGAUUUUUCAUAUUUGGAAUCGAUCAACCUAUCAUGCUUCAAUCAUGCAUUACUUUUAUUUAUUCUAACAGGUUGACUUCAAUUCAAAUAAAAAACAUUAGUUGGUAUAUAGAACUAUUCUCAUUAGAGUCCUCAAUCCAUGGCUUUUGCUCGAGAUUUGGGACUUGAUAAGGUGGUUGUGGAAGGGGAUUCUCUUACCGUGAUUAAAAAUGCAUCGUCUAACUAUCUUGAUCUCUCUCCUAUUGGUCCCAUUAUUCAAAGUAUUAGACACAUGAGAAUUUUUUUUCAAUAUUGUGAUUUUGUGUUUACUCGAAGACAAGGGAAUAUUGUCGCAAAUCUAUUGGCAAGGUUAGGUAAGGAUUAUGGAGAAAAUACCUUAUGGAUGGAGGACGGGUCGGAGUAGAUCUAUCGGCUUCUGGAAGAAGCUCAACAUUUUCUCCACUUAGAAUAGUUUGUUUUGCUUUUUCUUCUGCUUCCUUGGUCUGGUUUUGUUUCUUGCCUGUGGGGAGUGGGAUUGCUGUCGCACAACAACUUGAUUGCAGGUUUUGGCACUGUUCUCCCUUUUGGCGUCCCUGCUCUGAGGUUUUCAGUAUUCUUUCAUUUCUUCAAGAUGGGGAUUUCAUUUCAGUAUUCUAUAGACUUUGAGAGGGUUUUUUUUGUUUUGUUUUGUUUUAGAUGUGAGGAGAUUGGUUAUUCUUUUUC